GUAAAAUAUACAAAGCAAGGAUGUCUCUCAUUGUUAUUUACACAUAAAAUGAGUUUGUCUCUACUGGCUUUGACAAAGAGUUUGCAAGAGGGGAGUUGUUGUAUUGUGCAAGGCUUGAAACUUGCAUACCAUAUGCAAGUUAAUUUUCAGCCAUUGGAUUUGAUUGAAUUAAUCUAAACCCUUCAAUAUUUUAUAUAGUUUAUACCAUUUACUUGCUAAACUGGUUGAAACUUUCCCAGCCAUUCUCUCUACUUCAUCAGUCACGUUUCUCUCUCUCUGUGGUUUGGCUAAACAGGACUCCCUUCUCUCUCUUUUCCAGUCGUUCCACGAAUGGAGAUCGAAGUCGCAGGCUAUGCAAUGAUUUGAAGAGGUAUUCACCCAAAAAAAGGAUUGAAGAGGCUUCUUGAAGAUCUCUAUCUUCUCCAGUAGCUUAUUUGUUUGAAAGAGUUCUCAUUGAAGAGGUAUCAAUAUUGGCAACAGUUGAUGGCUAUUGGAUGACUUUCAAAUUCUUUUAAUUUGGCCCCUUUUUAGGGCAAUAGUUUUGAUUCUAAAUUUGUCUUUAAUUUAUGUAAUUAAUGACUUUUGCAUUCAUUUCACAAAUCACAAGUGUCGUGAAUGAUUUUUGGGUAGUGUUUGGGUGUGCAACCCAAAGGGAGUUGGACACCAUAUGCACCUUAAUUCUAAACCAUUAGAUUACUUAAAUUUAAUCUUAAUAAUGGCGAAAAAUAGGCAACCGGGUUAGCCGGUUAACCUUUAGCUCUCUCCUUUACUCUUAGCCUCACUCUUUUGUUUCUCACUCUAUUGCUCUCACUCCAAUGGCGAAGGAGCUACUCAGGGACCACCGCAGCCAUUAAUAGCAGGCUCGAAGCUUUCAGUUUCAAGAACAUCGGUCCGCUCAGAUUCGUAUGAUCGAAGAGAGUCUCCGAUUUGCCAGUGUUCCUGGUGAUUACAUCUGUGGCUGGGGGAUUUUGCUGCAUUCGUUCUUGGUGCAAAAUCCCUUGGACUUUGCCUGUCGAAGCCCUAGGGUACGUGGCAUCCUCUUUAUUCAUUUGGAAGUUAAAAGAAGUUAUGGAGAUGAUGGAGAAUAUGAAGGACAAAUGGAUGAGUGGAAGGACCAUGGCAAGACAGAAUGAAGAUGGAAGAAAUUGGUAGUUACUAAGUAG
This is a non-coding RNA of Camellia sinensis, 1163 nucleotides long. The record is from RefSeq and is a predicted model, not a curated record. NCBI's taxonomy places the organism in Eukaryota, Viridiplantae, Streptophyta, Magnoliopsida, Ericales, Theaceae.